RNAcentral lists this long non-coding RNA (2130 nucleotides) under Homo sapiens (human). Its description in RNAcentral is "long non-coding RNA NONHSAT166320.1". The record is from RNAcentral. Lineage: Eukaryota; Metazoa; Chordata; Mammalia; Primates; Hominidae.
GUGAGGGGGAACCAGGAAUAAGAGGCAUUUCCUUGAAGGGAGAAGAAGGAAUCAUGGGCUUUCCUGGACUGAGGGGUUACCCUGGCUUGAGUGGUGAAAAAGGAUCACCAGGACAGAAGGGAAGCCGAGGCCUGGAUGGCUAUCAAGGGCCUGAUGGACCCCGGGGACCCAAGGGAGAAGCCGGAGACCCAGGGCCCCCUGGACUACCUGCCUACUCCCCUCACCCUUCCCUAGCAAAAGGUGCCAGAGGUGACCCGGGAUUCCCAGGGGCCCAAGGGGAGCCAGGAAGCCAGGGUGAGCCAGGAGACCCGGGCCUCCCAGGUCCCCCUGGCCUCUCCAUCGGAGAUGGAGAUCAGAGGAGAGGCCUGCCGGGUGAGAUGGGACCCAAGGGCUUCAUCGGAGACCCCGGCAUCCCUGCGCUCUACGGGGGCCCACCUGGACCUGAUGGAAAGCGAGGGCCUCCAGGACCCCCCGGGCUCCCUGGACCACCUGGACCUGAUGGCUUCCUGUUUGGGCUGAAAGGAGCAAAAGGAAGAGCAGGCUUCCCUGGGCUUCCCGGCUCCCCUGGAGCCCGCGGACCAAAGGGGUGGAAAGGUGACGCUGGGGAAUGCAGAUGUACAGAAGGCGACGAAGCUAUCAAAGGUCUUCCGGGACUGCCAGGACCCAAGGGCUUCGCAGGCAUCAACGGGGAGCCGGGGAGGAAAGGGGACAGAGGAGACCCCGGCCAACACGGCCUCCCUGGGUUCCCAGGGCUCAAGGGAGUGCCUGGCAACAUUGGUGCUCCCGGACCCAAAGGAGCAAAAGGAGAUUCCAGAACAAUCACAACCAAAGGUGAGCGGGGACAGCCCGGCGUCCCAGGUGUGCCCGGGAUGAAAGGUGACGAUGGCAGCCCAGGCCGCGAUGGGCUCGAUGGAUUCCCCGGCCUCCCAGGCCCUCCCGGUGAUGGCAUCAAGGGCCCUCCAGGGGACCCAGGCUAUCCAGGAAUACCUGGAACGAAGGGUACUCCAGGAGAAAUGGGCCCCCCAGGACUGGGCCUUCCCGGCCUCAAAGGCCAACGUGGUUUCCCUGGAGACGCCGGCUUACCUGGACCACCAGGCUUCCUGGGCCCUCCUGGCCCCGCAGGGACCCCAGGACAAAUAGAUUGUGACACAGAUGUGAAAAGGGCCGUUGGAGGUGACAGACAGGAGGCCAUCCAGCCAGGUUGCAUAGGAGGGCCCAAGGGAUUGCCAGGCCUGCCAGGACCCCCAGGCCCCACAGGUGCCAAAGGCCUCCGAGGAAUCCCAGGCUUCGCAGGAGCUGAUGGAGGACCAGGGCCCAGGGGCUUGCCAGGAGACGCAGGUCGUGAAGGGUUCCCAGGACCCCCAGGGUUCAUAGGACCCCGAGGAUCCAAAGGUGCAGUGGGCCUCCCUGGCCCAGAUGGAUCCCCAGGUCCCAUCGGCCUGCCAGGGCCAGAUGGGCCCCCUGGGGAAAGGGGCCUCCCUGGAGAAGUCCUGGGAGCUCAGCCCGGGCCACGGGGAGAUGCUGGUGUGCCUGGACAGCCUGGGCUUAAAGGCCUUCCCGGAGACAGAGGCCCCCCUGGAUUCAGAGGAAGCCAAGGGAUGCCUGGGAUGCCAGGGCUGAAGGGCCAGCCAGGCCUCCCAGGACCUUCCGGCCAGCCAGGCCUGUAUGGGCCUCCAGGACUGCAUGGAUUCCCAGGAGCUCCUGGCCAAGAGGGGCCCUUGGGGCUGCCAGGAAUCCCAGGCCGUGAAGGUCUGCCUGGUGAUAGAGGGGACCCUGGGGACACAGGCGCUCCUGGCCCUGUGGGCAUGAAAGGUCUCUCUGGUGACAGAGGAGAUGCUGGCUUCACAGGGGAGCAAGGCCAUCCAGGAAGCCCUGGAUUUAAAGGAAUUGAUGGAAUGCCUGGGACCCCCGGGCUAAAAGGAGAUAGAGGCUCACCUGGGAUGGAUGGUUUCCAAGGCAUGCCUGGACUCAAAGGGAGACCCGGGUUUCCAGGGAGCAAAGGCGAGGCUGGAUUUUUCGGAAUACCCGGUCUGAAGGGUCUGGCUGGUGAGCCAGGUUUUAAAGCCGAGGGGACCCUGGGCCCCCAGGACCACCUCCUGUCAUCCUGCCAGGAAUGAAAGACAUUAAAGG